Molecule: ribosomal RNA, 1339 nt
Filed under: Comamonas sp. IMCC12801
Lineage: Bacteria; Pseudomonadati; Pseudomonadota; Betaproteobacteria; Burkholderiales; Comamonadaceae
Description: bacterial SSU rRNA
Rfam family: Bacterial small subunit ribosomal RNA
Source: RNAcentral
UGCAAGUCGAACGGUAGCAGGAAGGUCUUCGGAUCUUUGCUGACGAGUGGCGAACGGGUGAGUAAUACAUCGGAACGUGCCUGAUAGUGGGGGAUAACUACUCGAAAGAGUAGCUAAUACCGCAUGAGAUCUACGGAUGAAAGCAGGGGACCUUCGGGCCUUGUGCUAUCAGAGCGGCCCAUGUCAGAUUAGGUAGUUGGUGGGGUAAAAGCUCACCAAGCCUGCGAUCUGUAGCUGGUCUGAGAGGACGACCAGCCACACUGGGACUGAGACACGGCCCAGACUCCUACGGGAGGCAGCAGUGGGGAAUUUUGGACAAUGGGCGAAAGCCUGAUCCAGCCAUGCCGCGUGCAGGAAGAAGGCCCUCGGGUUGUAAAGUGCUUUCGUACGGAAGGAAAAGCCUGGGGCUAAUAUCCCCGGGUCAUGACGGUACCGUAAGAAUAAGCACCGGCUAACUACGUGCCAGCAGCCGCGGUAAUACGUAGGGUGCAAGCGUUAAUCGGGAUUACUGGGCGUAAAGCGUGCGCAGGCGUUUUUGUAAGACAGUGGUGAAAUCCCCGGGCUCAACCUGGGAACUGCCUUUGUGACUGGAAAGCUAGAGUGCGGCAGAGGGGGGUGGAAUUCCGCGUGUAGCAGUGAAAUGCGUAGAUAUGCGGAGGAACACCGAUGGCGAAGGCAAUCCCCUGGGCCUGCACUGACGCUCAUGCACGAAAGCGUGGGGAGCAAACAGGAUUAGAUACCCUGGUAGUCCACGCCCUAAACGAUGUCAACUGGUUGUUGGGUCGUUAACUGACUCAGUAACGAAGCUAACGCGUGAAGUUGACCGCCUGGGGAGUACGGCCGCAAGGGUGAAACUCAAAGGAAUUGACGGGGACCCCCACAAGCGGUGGAUGAUGGGGUUUAAUUCCAUGCAACCCGAAAAACCUUACCCACCUUUGACAUGGCAGGAACUUACCAAAAAUGGUUUGGUGUCUAAAGAAACCUGCACACAGGUGCUGCAUGGCUGUCGUCAGCUCGUGUCGUGAGAUGUUGGGUUAAGUCCCGCAACGAGCGCAACCCUUGCCAUUAGUUGCUAGCAUUUCAGUUGAGCACUCUAAUGGGACUGCCGGUGACAAACCGGAGGAAGGUGGGGAUGACGUCAAGUCCUCAUGGCCCUUAUAGGUGGGGCUACACACGUCAUACAAUGGCUGGUACAAAGGGUUGCCAACCCGCGAGGGGGAGCUAAUCCCAUAUAGCCAGUCGUAGUCCGGAUCGCAGUCUGCAACUCGACUGCGUGAAGUCGGAAUCGCUAGUAAUCGUGGAUCAGAAUGUCACGGUGAAUACGUUCCCGGGUCUUGUC